Molecule: ribosomal RNA, 598 nt
Filed under: uncultured bacterium
Lineage: Bacteria
Description: bacterial SSU rRNA
Rfam family: Bacterial small subunit ribosomal RNA
Source: RNAcentral
CCUACGGGAGGCAGCAGUGGGGAAUAUUGCACAAUGGGCGCAAGCCUGAUGCAGCGACGCCGCGUGAGGGAUGACGGCCUUCGGGUUGUAAACCUCUUUCAGUAGGGAAGAAGCGAAAGUGACGGUACCUGCAGAAGAAGCGCCGGCUAACUACGUGCCAGCAGCCGCGGUAAUACGUAGGGCGCAAGCGUUAUCCGGAAUUAUUGGGCGUAAAGAGCUCGUAGGCGGUUUGUCGCGUCUGCCGUGAAAGUCCGGGGCUCAACUCCGGAUCUGCGGUGGGUACGGGCAGACUGGAGUGAUGUAGGGGAGACUGGAAUUCCUGGUGUAGCGGUGAAAUGCGCAGAUAUCAGGAGGAACACCGAUGGCGAAGGCAGGUCUCUGGGCAUUAACUGACGCUGAGGAGCGAAAGCAUGGGGAGCGAACAGGAUUAGAUACCCUGGUAGUCCAUGCCGUAAACGUUGGGCACUAGGUGUGGGGGACAUUCCACGUUUUCCGCGCCGUAGCUAACGCAUUAAGUGCCCGCCUGGGGAGUACGGCCGCAGGCUAAAACUCAAAGGAAUUGACGGCUGAGAGNGCGACGACGACGACGAGGGAGAGG